This 458-nucleotide ribosomal RNA is filed under the name uncultured bacterium. RNAcentral's name for it is "bacterial SSU rRNA". It matches the Rfam family "Bacterial small subunit ribosomal RNA", at positions 340 to 786 of the family's 1533-position model. The record is from RNAcentral.
UACGGAAGGCAGCAGUGGGGAAUAUUGCACAAUGGGCGAAAGCCUGAUGCAGCUAUGCCGCGUGUAUGAAGAAGGCCUUAGGGUUGUAAAGUACUUUCAUCGGGGAGGAAAAAACAAAACUAAUAAUUUUAUUUCUUGACGUUACCCGAAAAAGAAGCACCGGCUAACUCCGUGCCAGCAGCCGCGGUAAUACGGAGGGUGCUAGCGUUAAUCAGAAUUACUGGGCGUAAAGAGCACGUAGGUGGUUUUUUUAAGUCAGAUGUGAAAUCCCUGGGCUUAACCUAGGAACUGCAUUUUGAAACUGAAAUACUAGAGUAUCGUAGAGGGAGGUAGAAUUCUAGGUGUAGCGGUGAAAUGCGUAGAUAUCUGGAGGAAUACCUGUGGCGAAAGCGGCCUCCUAAACGAAUACUGACACUGAGGUGCGAAAGCGUGGGGAGCAAAACAGGGAUUAGGAUACC